AAGCUCGUAGUUGAAUUUCGGGAUUGACACAUCGGUCGUGCCCUAAGGGGUACGAACUGGUGUAGUCAAUUUCUCACCUUCUGGGGAACCGCGCUGUCCUUAAUUGGGUGACGCGGGGAACCAGGACCUUUACUUUGAAAAAAUUAGAGUGUUUAAAGCAGGCAUUUUGCUUGAAUACAUUAGCAUGGAAUAAUAAAAUAGGACGGCAUGAUUCUAUUUUGUUGGUUUCUAGGAUCACCGUAAUGAUUAAUAGGGAUAGUUGGGGGCAUUAGUAUUCAAUUGUCAGAGGUGAAAUUCUUGGAUUUAUUGAAGACUAACUACUGCGAAAGCAUUUGCCAAGGAUGUUUUCAUUAAUCAAGAACGAAAGUUAGGGGAUCGAAGACGAUCAGAUACCCUCGUAGUCUUAACCAUAAACUAUGCCGACUAGGAAUCAGACGAUGUUAAUUUUUUAAUGACUCGUUUGGCACCUUACGGGAAACCAAAGUGUUUGGGUUCCGGGGGGAGUAUGGUCGCAAGGCUGAAACUUAAAGGAAUUGACGGAAGGGCACCACCAGGGGUGGAGCCUGCGGCUUAAUUUGACUCAACACGGGAAAACUUACCAGGUCCAGACAUAGUAAGGAUUGACAGAUUGAGAGCUCUUUCUUGAUUCUAUGGGUG
This 657-nucleotide ribosomal RNA is filed under the name uncultured Entrophospora. RNAcentral describes it as "SSU rRNA". It matches the Rfam family "Eukaryotic small subunit ribosomal RNA", at positions 624 to 1276 of the family's 1831-position model. Lineage: Eukaryota; Fungi; Glomeromycota; Glomeromycetes; Entrophosporales; Entrophosporaceae. The record is from RNAcentral.